This is a non-coding RNA of Paralichthys olivaceus (Japanese flounder), 459 nucleotides long. The record is from RefSeq and is a predicted model, not a curated record. Lineage: Eukaryota; Metazoa; Chordata; Actinopteri; Pleuronectiformes; Paralichthyidae.
CGCCUCCACCAGCCAGACAUUUCUGGUCAAAGGACAAUUCGCACACCCCUGUGAAUUCUCCACCUUCAAAGAUUUCCAAAAUACAGACUCCUCCCCAACCAAGACAUUUUUGGAGGAGAGAUGCACCAACUGGCUCCUGUUCUCCAGCUAAACAGCUUCCCAAAGAACAAAACCCUCCACAGUCAAGAAAUGUGUGGAAGAUGGCUACACCCAGUGGCUCCUGUCCUCCAGCUAUGAAGCUUCAGCCCUGGGCAGAUGAAGACCCACUGUUUGAGAGUCCAAACAAAGAGAGAGGGACCAUGUGGACGGUGAGGGCAACUCAUAGUCAGAGUGAUGGUCGGUACAACACCUUCUCCAGGAAUCAUCAGUGCACCUGUAUGGCACUGACAUUUUUGGCAUACCACAACGAGGGAUUGCGGUUCAACAGAGACAACCUCGACAAAGUGCUUCAGCAGGGAG